RNAcentral lists this ribosomal RNA (463 nucleotides) under uncultured bacterium. RNAcentral describes it as "partial 16S ribosomal RNA". It matches the Rfam family "Bacterial small subunit ribosomal RNA", at positions 28 to 507 of the family's 1533-position model. The record is from RNAcentral.
GAUGAACGCUGACAGAAUGCUUAACACAUGCAAGUCGAUGGGGAAGUGGUGCUUGCACCAUGGCAACCAUGGCGGACGGGUGAGUAACGCGUAAGGGACUUACCUGCAGGACUGGGAUAACAGGGGGAAACUCCUGACAAGACCGGAUAAUGUCAUGGAGCUGCAUGGCUUUAUGAUGAAAGGAGACGCCUGCGGAGAGCCUUGCGUCCUAUUAGCUAGUUGGUGAGGUAAUGGCUCACCAAGGCGAAGAUAGGUAGCCGGCCUGAGAGGGUGGACGGCCACAAGGGGACUGAGAUACGGCCCUUACUCCUACGGGAGGCAGCAGUGGGGAAUAUUGGACGAUGGGGGCAACCCUGAUCCAGCAAUUCUGUGUGCACGAAGAAGGUUUUCGGAUUGUAAAGUGCUUUCAGCAGGGAAGAAGUAAGUGACGAUACCUGCAGAAGAAGCGACGGCUAAAUACGUG